CCGCCUCCCCUUCAACGCGCCACUCCCUCCCCCACCACUCCGUGCCACGCCCGCUCUCCACGCCCUGCCCCCGUGGGAAUGUGCAAUGGGGCGGGCAGCGCGCCUUGAGGCUGGCGCCCUGGUAGGGGUGGGCUGACCAGCCUGAUGGGGGCUGAGACUGCCUGGAACCCAAACGGAAGCUCCCUGGCCUAUGUUUGAAACCGUGAAUUCACCGGCUAGAAUGGAAAUGCCAGGUACCUGGGAACCUGGAAGUUGCCUUUUCAAUGCUGCCUUUCCCGUUCUCCCCUCCAUCCCUCUGGCUGCAACGAUCCUCCCUCUGGAACCCCUGGUCAGGCUCACUUCAGAGUGCCCCUUGGACCCUGCCUGGCUGAACCAUCCACACCUUGGUCAGGCAUCUUGGAAGGACUGCCCCAGCCGUGUUAUAAAAGGAGAAAACGUCACAGUGGGCAGCCCCAUUCCUGCGUUAUCCAGACAGGAAACUCAGGUGCUCAGGUCAGUGAUGCCCCCCCAAGCUGCUUUGGGGACCACACCCACACCGCUUCUCUGACGGCCCACACAGGCUGGUUCACCGCAUCCUUGUCCCACUGUGGGCCUCUUGACCUAAUCAACACAGGCAACAGGACCAGAAGUUCCCAGCAGUACCCCCAAAAUGUUAGGGAAGUUUGUGUAGGAAGGUGUUACACAACUUCAGCAUUUCUGCUCUACAAUGCAGCUCCUUUGGAACCACUUUUAACAUCCCUUUUUAAAUAUCCCUUUGGAACCGAGUUUAAUAAUUUGUUGCUGUUGGGAGUUACAAUAAUUCUGUUAAGUCAUUUUCCCAUUUAGUUUCUCUGAUAAUUCCGAGUUCUACAUUACUACCUGCCUCUCAGAUGAGUGCUGGCAGCCCCAGUUCUGUACAGGGAGGAUGCAAAACGGCAGAAUAUCUGUGGUGCAACUUUCUGGAGCAUCAGUUUACUACAAGAUUUGGAAGAAUAAGUUAAGUAAUUUCCAAGGUGCUGGAGAUAGUCCUGAACAGCACAGCUUAGGGUCCUGUGCCAUGAAGGAGCCUACACACUAGUCCUGGGAGAUGAGACAAGCAACAAGCAAGUAAAUCCUGGAAAGAUCAAGGUCACUUCAGAUGGUGAUGAAGCAGAGUCAUGUGAUUGAGAGAGCCCACAGGUCUGGGUGGGCCAUGGUCACCCUGGUUUAGAUUGGCUGGUCGGGGUAGGUCUCCCUAAGGAGGUAAGAUUCGAGUUUUCCAGGUAGGAGGUACACAGGAAGAAUGAAACCGUGAGGGUGGGAGCCCAUCUGAGUGCUGUGGCUGCCAGCCUGGAAAAGUGACUGAUGGGGAGAAAGGUAUCAGGUGAGUUCAGAGAGGGGGCCGAGGCCAGAUCACUUGCCUAACACUUUUAGCAUCUAAAUGUCAACAUAGGCACUUAAAGAUCACAAUCUGGGGGCCGGCCCUGUAGCUUAGUGGUGCAGUUCGGCAUGCUCUCCUUUGGUGGCCCAGACUUGGUUCCUGGGUGUCGAUUUACACCACUCAUCAGCCAUGCUGUGCUGGUGACCCACAUACGAAAUAGAGGAAGAUUGGCAACAGAUAUUGGCUCAGGGUGAAUCUUCCUCAGCAAAAACAAAAAAGCAAAUCACAAUCUGUUUUCAAAACUAUAAAGCAAAGUUGAGGUCUAUCCCAGUGGGGUGUUUUCUGUAGACCUACAUUGUUGGAAAUGCCUCAUAGAGUAAUUACGUGGUUUCCUUUACUCACAGAACUAUGUGUUAGAUCUGUGGGAAAGAAGUACAACACAGAGCUGCUAAAACUAUGAAAGACUUAAUGGUCAGUUUUUUUUUAAUCUUUGGCAUUGGUGUAUCCCGAGAUCUGUACUGUUCUAGGGUGAUAGCUUAGGAGUGAGUAUGAUUUGAACUUGCUCAUGUUUACAGGGUAUACAAUACUGAGAACCAGUUAGAUCCAUCGACUCUGACCCUAAAUGUGGCCCUAAGGUAAACUGGUUGAAGAAAUUGGAUCCUAAAGAUUACAGGUGGAGAAUUUUUAAAGGAUGUCCAUAUUCGAGGGAAGACCAAAGAAUCCCAACUGAAAGAAUUGUGAACUGACUGACAUGAUAGCCACGGAUUGAGCACAAUUUCUUUUUAAAAGGGCUGUCUUGAAGAUUAUGACUCAAACUUUGGAGGAACUAAGGAGGAGAGGAGCCCAUUUCCUUAGUUUCCCUCAAAUGCACUCCCCCAGCAAGUCUAUGUAAUUGUGAUAGACUGGUUAUUUGUGGAAAGAAACAGAAGUUUUAUUGCAUCUGCUUCAAACUUCAUAACGGUCAUCUCUGUUCCAACUGACAUUGGCCAUGCCCGCCUGGGGGUCAGCUGUCCACACUGUCCUCGUGGCCUUCAGCGCUGCUGCACUCUCUCUGACUCCUUCUUUCCUCUCUCUCCACCACCUUGGCCCCCAUCUUGGGGUUGUCACAGGAAGCUCCAGAUCAACCGUGCCCACGGCUGCCAUGUCACAGGAGCACCUUAAGGUUUCUCCUUAAGUGAUAUUUCUGUCUUGACAGGAAUUCUGCUGUUGGAUUAAAUUGUAUUCUCCUUGCCUUAUGAACUAUGAAGACUUUCUUGCAAGAUGUCGCUAAUUUAUUUUUCCUUUAGGCAAUAACUCUGCAGUGUGCCAUGCAUGUCACACACACACACUUUCAGAGAAAAUGUGUUCUAUAAAUGCAAAAUGACAAUGAUAAUUAUUAUUAGUCAUGAUUUCUUGUGAUGUUCUAGAAUUCAUCUGUGAAAUGAUCUGUUGCUGAGAAAUAGAAUGAGAGAUAUUUAAAACCUCCAAAGGAAAAGAGAUCGAGUUGAAAUGUGCAAAAGUCUUAUUUUAUUCAGCAACUCAGCUUAAAAAUGGCCUCGUUAAAAGGGCUGUAUCCACAUUUUCAGUGAGUGGAGAUCAAAAUUUAGUUAAUCUCUUGUCUUGAAAAUGUUUGGAACUUUUUGUCAUUGUAACAGAACCCUAAAAUAUGGUCUAUAGGUAGUCCUUCACUUUUCUGUACAUUCGAAUCAUAUGUCUCUUGUUCAGACUUCCACUUUUUAACAUUAUAAUUCUAGUGCCUUAAAUACUUUGAAAAAAACCCCAGAAUUCUGACUCCUCUAAGUCAGAUGGUAAACAUCUCAAGUUGUUAAAUGAUGAUUUUUCUGGCAGUCAACAUUUGAAUAUAAGUGCUGUGACCAUUUUUCAGAAAAAUGUAUGUGUAUUUAAAUAAUUUACGGAAUUUCUGCAUCAGUUUACAAAAGACAGUUUAAGUUAAGGCCCAGCUCUGGCGGGGUGUUAUUCAAGCUUGUCACCUGCUUGCAGGUUACUGCACUGUUCUGUGCUUCUGUCUCCUCAUCUGUGACAUGGGCAAUAACUCAUAGAGAUGUGUCAGAAUUAAGUGGGUGGACACAGGUGAGGUGCUUAGAUCAAUGCCUGGCAUGUAAUAAGUAUUUAAAAACGGUUAGCCAUUAAGAUAUAAAGCUAUAUUAUUAAGAUAUAAAAUUAUUAUAUUAAAGUUCACAGAAAUGGGGAAAUGAAAGUGCUACUGCUAUUGAGAAAACGUUAAAACCAGUGAGGAUUUAUCCAAAGAACAUGAAAACACGAAUGCAUAAAGAUACAUGCACCCCUAUGUUCAUCGCAGCAUUAUUCACAACAGCCAAGACUCGGAAACAACCUAGGUGCCCAUCAA
Molecule: non-coding RNA, 3686 nt
Organism: Equus caballus (horse)
Lineage: Eukaryota; Metazoa; Chordata; Mammalia; Perissodactyla; Equidae
Source: RefSeq, a predicted model, not a curated record